GAUGAACGCUGGCGGCGUGCCUAAUACAUGCAAGUCGAGCGAACGGACGAGAAGCUUGCUUCUCUGAUGUUAGCGGCGGACGGGUGAGUAACACGUGGAUAACCUACCUAUAAGACUGGGAUAACUUCGGGAAACCGGAGCUAAUACCGGAUGAUAUUUUGAACCGCAUGGUUCAAAAGUGAAAGACGGUCUUGCUGUCACUUAUAGAUGUAUCCGCGCUGCAUUAGCUAGUUGGUAAGGUAACGGCUUACCAAGGCAACGAUGCAUAGCCGACCUGAGAGGGUGAUCGGCCACACUGGAACUGAGACACGGUCCAGACUCCUACGGGAGGCAGCAGUAGGGAAUCUUCCGCAAUGGGCGAAAGCCUGACGGAGCAACGCCGCGUGAGUGAUGAAGGUCUUCGGAUCGUAAAACUCUGUUAUUAGGGAAGAACAUUUGUGUAAGUAACUGUGCACAUCUUGACGGUACCUAAUCAGAAAGCCACGGCUAACUACGUG
Molecule: ribosomal RNA, 497 nt
Filed under: uncultured bacterium
Lineage: Bacteria
Description: partial 16S ribosomal RNA
Rfam family: Bacterial small subunit ribosomal RNA
Source: RNAcentral